CGUAGGGUGCGAGCGUUAAUCGGAAUUACUGGGCGUAAAGCGUGCGCAGGCGGUUUUGUAAGACAGGUGUGAAAUCCCCGGGCUUAACCUGGGAAUGUCAUCUGUGACUGCAAAGCUAGAGUACGGUAGAGGGGGAUGGAAUUCCGCGUGUAGCAGUGAAAUGCGUAGAUAUGCGGAGGAACACCGAUGGCGAAGGCAAUCCCCUGGACCUGUACUGACGCUCAUGCACGAAAGCGUGGGGAGCAAACAGGAUUAGAUACCCUGGUAGUCCACGCCCUAAACGAUGUCAACUGGUUGUUGGGUCUCUUCUGACUCAGUAACGAAGCUAACGCGAGAAGUUGACCGCCUGGGGAGUACGGCCGCAAGGUUG
This 370-nucleotide ribosomal RNA is filed under the name uncultured organism. Its description in RNAcentral is "bacterial SSU rRNA". It matches the Rfam family "Bacterial small subunit ribosomal RNA", at positions 526 to 896 of the family's 1533-position model. The record is from RNAcentral.